This 486-nucleotide ribosomal RNA is filed under the name Bacillus inaquosorum. RNAcentral describes it as "bacterial SSU rRNA". It matches the Rfam family "Bacterial small subunit ribosomal RNA", at positions 263 to 735 of the family's 1533-position model. The record is from RNAcentral. Lineage: Bacteria; Bacillati; Bacillota; Bacilli; Caryophanales; Bacillaceae.
GGACGGUAGCUCAACGAUGCGUAGCCGACCUGAGAGGGUGAUCGGCCACACUGGGACUGAGACCACGGCCCAGACUCCUACGGGAGGCAGCAGUAGGGAAUCUUCCGCAAUGGACGAAAGUCUGACGGAGCAACGCCGCGUGAGUGAUGAAGGUUUUCGGAUCGUAAAGCUCUGUUGUUAGGGAAGAACAAGUACCGUUCGAAUAGGGCGGUACCUUGACGGUACCUAACCAGAAAGCCACGGCUAACUACGUGCCCAGUAGAGCGGUAAUACGUAGGUGGCAAGCGUUGUCCGGACCGAUUGGGCGUAAAGGGCUCGCAGGCGGUUUCUUAAGUCUGAUGUGAAAGCCCCCGGCUCAACCGGGGAGGGUCAUUGGAAACUGGGGAACUUGAGUGCAGAAGAGGAGAGUGGAAUUCCACGUGUAGCGGUGAAAUGCGUAGAGAUGUGGAGGAACACCAGCCGAUGUAGUUGAUGAUAAUCGUGUUA